GUUGUAAAAACCUGUCGACAACGCCAAUCACGCUGUACACUUGUGACAUUAAAGACGUGUGGGUUCAACUCGUUGUCAGUAAUCCUAUUAUCACCAUGUCUCUAAUACGCUCCUUGAUCAUUUUCGCCGCCUGUCUAGUCAUUUGCACGUUGACCGUUCAGUCGGCAAGCGUUGAAGAGGAUAACAUGGUCGAAGGUGAAUGGAAUGAAGAAUACGAACGUUUGGCCGAUGACGACGAGGCUUUUUCCUUCGAUAAUGCGGAAGAAGAAGAACUGAUGGAAGAGCGUCAAGCCAAUAACCAACAAAAAAUUAAGGAACUCUGGAAAGAGGCCAAUCCCAUCGCCUGGACGAUCAAACGACUUUAGAGCUGGACACAAACAACUUAUAUUGAAUUCUUCCCAGAUGAAAUCCGGCUAUAUAAACUUUGUAUCCCUUUAUCUCAUGCCUUCCACAGUUUUUACUAACUGUUGUUUUUCAUCUUUUUCACCUUCCUCUGACACCAAUAAAACAUCUAUCAAAUUUUCUUUGAAUACACCCUGGAAUUACAUUA
Molecule: long non-coding RNA, 550 nt
Organism: Daphnia pulex (common water flea)
Lineage: Eukaryota; Metazoa; Arthropoda; Branchiopoda; Diplostraca; Daphniidae
Exons: 2
Source: RefSeq, a predicted model, not a curated record